RNAcentral lists this long non-coding RNA (356 nucleotides) under Sorghum bicolor (sorghum). RNAcentral's name for it is "long non-coding RNA (SBIC_LNC003329)". The record is from RNAcentral. Lineage: Eukaryota; Viridiplantae; Streptophyta; Magnoliopsida; Poales; Poaceae.
GGGAGCAUGAUAAAUCUCUCAACAAGGGUCUAACUCAUUUUGAACAAACUCAAUACAGAGCAGAUAGCUUUUAUAAUCAUAAUUAAUAUUUUCAGUUUUAUCAGGCAUAUGAAACACUGAGGAUGGUAGCUAGAAAUUUGAAUAUUUUGAAAUAAAUUCUCCAAGCAACAAUGAUAUCAAGAAUAAGAAACUCAUACUCUACCAUCACAUAUUCUAUAUUGACUUAAGUAACACAGGGUUUUAAAAUGAUUUUAUAAUAAUUGCAAAUUUUCAGGAAAUAUCAUAAAUUGAGAUUAAUCAUGAUUAGAAAUAUUUUAAUCUUUUUAUCUUAUCAUGUCGGAAACAGUAAUCUGCAU